AGGGGUUUUUGGUUGGGGGGUCCUAACAUGCAAGUUGAGCGAGAAAUCACUUAAUGAAGCUUCGGUAGACUUAAGAGAUGGAGAGAAGCGGACGGGUGAGUAACGCGUGGGAAACCUGCCCUUGAUAUGAGGAUAGCCGAGAGAAAUUUCGAUUAAUACUUCAUAAAGCAGAGCAUUCGCAUGGAUGAACUGCCAAAGAAUUAUCGGUCAAGGAUGGUCCCGCGUCUGAUUAGCUGGUUGGUAAGGUAGCGGCUUACCAAGGCGACGAUCAGUAGCCGGCCUGAGAGGGUGAACGGCCACAUUGGAACUGAGACACGGUCCAGACUCCUACGGGAGGCAGCAGUGGGGAAUAUUGCACAAUGGGCGAAAGCCUGAUGCAGCAACGCCGCGUGAAGGAAGAAGGCUUUCGAGUCGUAAACUUCUGUCCAAAGGGAAGAAUAAUGACGGUACCUUUGAAGAAAGCCCCGGCUAACUAUGUGCCAGCAGCCGCGGUAAUACGUAGGGGGCGAGCGUUAUCCGGAAUUACUGGGCGUAAAGAGUAUGUAGGUGGUUAAGUAAGCGUAGGGUUUAAGGCGACAGCCCAACUGUCGUAUGCCCCGCGAACUGUUUAACUUGAGUACAGGAGGGGAAGGCGGAAUUCCUAGUGUAGCGGUGAAAUGCGUAGAUAUUAGGAGGAACACCAGUGGCGAAGGCGGCCUUCUGGACUGUAACUGACACUGAGAUACGAAAGCG
Molecule: ribosomal RNA, 732 nt
Filed under: uncultured bacterium
Lineage: Bacteria
Description: bacterial SSU rRNA
Rfam family: Bacterial small subunit ribosomal RNA
Source: RNAcentral